AUGGGUCAGCGACUUAUAUUCUGUAGCAAGGUUAACCGAAUAGGGGAGCCGAAGGGAAACCGAGUCUUAACUGGGCGUUAAGUUGCAGGGUAUAGACCCGAAACCCGGUGAUCUAGCCAUGGGCAGGUUGAAGGUUGGGUAACACUAACUGGAGGACCGAACCGACUAAUGUUGAAAAAUUAGCGGAUGACUUGUGGCUGGGGGUGAAAGGCCAAUCAAACCGGGAGAUAGCUGGUUCUCCCCGAAAGCUAUUUAGGUAGCGCCUCGUGAAUUCAUCUCCGGGGGUAGAGCACUGUUUCGGCAAGGGGGUCAUCCCGACUUACCAACCCGAUGCAAACUGCGAAUACCGGAGAAUGUUAUCACGGGAGACACACGGCGGGUGCUAACGUCCGUCGUGAAGAGGGAAACAACCCAGACCGCCAGCUAAGGUCCCAAAGUCAUGGUUAAGUGGGAAACGAUGUGGGAAGGCCCAGACAGCCAGGAUGUUGGCUUAGAAGCAGCCAUCAUUUAAAGAAAGCGUAAUAGCUCACUGGUCGAGUCGGCCUGCGCGGAAGAUGUAACGGGGCUAAACCAUG
RNAcentral lists this ribosomal RNA (575 nucleotides) under Escherichia coli. RNAcentral's name for it is "partial 23S ribosomal RNA". It matches the Rfam family "Bacterial large subunit ribosomal RNA", at positions 615 to 1191 of the family's 2925-position model. Lineage: Bacteria; Pseudomonadati; Pseudomonadota; Gammaproteobacteria; Enterobacterales; Enterobacteriaceae. The record is from RNAcentral.